This 1862-nucleotide long non-coding RNA is filed under the name Heterocephalus glaber (naked mole-rat). RNAcentral describes it as "lncRNA (ENSHGLG00000050413.1)". The record is from RNAcentral. Lineage: Eukaryota; Metazoa; Chordata; Mammalia; Rodentia; Bathyergidae.
AGGGAGGGAGGGCAGAGGAGAAAAGAGGGAGGCAGGAGAGGCAGCACCCUGGGGAAUGGCUCUGUCAAGGCCACAGGAAGCAGAGGCAGACAUGAGAAAGCCAGUUCCCCAGCACAGGCUGAGCAAGGCCAACCGGGCUGAAGCUGGAGGUGAGGCUGGGGACCCUGCCCCCCACUGCACAACCUAGGAGCUAUGAUCCCCAUCAGGGACCUGGAAUGCUAGCACCUUGCCAUCACAGGGUCCCUGGAGAAGUGCUCUGUGCUUCAAGGUGAUUCCAGAAGCCAGGCACGUGGUGCAUCCCUGUAAUCCCAGCACUCAUGAGGCUGAGACACGAGGAUCAUCUGAGCCCAGCUUGGACUACAUAGUUCGUGGUCAACCUGAACUAAAUUGAGACCCUGUCUUUAAAAAAAAAAGUGAUUCCAGGUCGCACCUGAGACUCUUGGUAGCUGUUGGCACUGGGAGUUGACCCCCCCCCCGACUCAUCAAGAAUUCAUGCUCACCCACUGGGGCACCGGUCUGCCAAGAACGCCACCUGUGGCAUCAUCCCUACUGCCACCUACCCCAUCCUGCCAUGACUUGUAACUAAGCAGCCCCUGGCAGAUCCUCUUGCCAACCUCUAACACUUCCUGUUUCUCACACCUGCUCAAUGACAGAGGCGGACCAGGCUGUCUGCUGGCCAGACAGUGGCGAAGCACAGGCCCAGAUAGGGACACAGCUGAGGAAGAAUCGGUCCAGUUAAUCCUAGGAAAAUGACUUGAGACCAGCUCUCCAGGAAGGAGGCCUAUAGGCACCACCUGCAAGCUGUUCAUCUAUCCUCUGAGUUGGAGGAGGAAAGGAAGACCUUGCCAAGCCCUCCAAACCUGCUUAUAUUCUCUGUCUGGGGGAGUCUGUGCUUUGUCACAGAAUGGACUCCUGGCUUCUCCAUCCUGCCUAACCAAAGAGUAGCUGGGGGCUUCUCUUAGUGAGAACACCCCUCAUUCUGCUUCCCUCACCCCCAAGAACCCUAGGAAAUGAAGCCUGGGCAUUCCGUCCCUGACUGGUGACAGGAGGAUCUGGCGCAGAGACGUCUCAAGGGAGGGGAUGUCUGAGCUGUGCUCAGAGGACAAUAGGGAGUUUUUCAGGAAGGUGAGCUUCAGAAGGGCAUUCCAGCCUGGGAGCCACCCUGCUGUGGCCCAGAAACAAAAUCAGCUGGCUCUGUCCCUGGAGCUGUGGUUGACCUGACAGGAAAAUGAGGGUGGGAGCCUGAGGAUAAGGCAGGCCAGAGCCAGGCCUUGUUGGGCUUCUCAUUGCAAGGGUGAUUCACAGGACAAAGUGUCUUCUGUUUUCUCAUCUAGGUCAUUGGGGAGAGUGACAGAGAAGGUUCUGGACUCCAGCUGGAAGAGGGAGGGCAGGAGGAAUGAAAGGGUUUUGAGAACCACAGGCUACUCCUCCUCCCUGUUUUUCAAGGUGCUCAUAGACAGGAUGCUGCUGCCACCCAAAGUGAGCUCAGACAGGUCACUGAACCCCAAGCCCUAGGCCUGGGAAUCCAAAUGUCUGGAAACCAUUGGUCUAGUCCAAUCCCCUUACUUGCACAUGGAGAAGCAGAGGCCCUGAGAGGGGAAUCCAAUUUCCUCUGUGUUACCAUCCCAAACCAGAGAUGACUGUCAGAAGUGAAAAUUAUCAUCAUCAUCAUCAUCAUCAUCAUCAUCAUCAUCAUCAUCAUCAUCAUCCUUUUCUUCAUGUCUGGAAUAAAAAUACUAUGUUAUUAAUAAUGCUAACAACAAGGCCAGGGAUUUAGCUCAGUGGUUUCGCCGCCUGCUACGCAAGCACAAGGACCCAAGUUCGAUCCCCAGUACCAAAAAAAAUAAAUAAUGCUAACAACA